Podarcis lilfordi (Lilford's wall lizard) is the source of this 82-nucleotide non-coding RNA. The record is from the annotation of a GenBank genome assembly. NCBI's taxonomy places the organism in Eukaryota, Metazoa, Chordata, Lepidosauria, Squamata, Lacertidae.
GGUCCAUGGCUCAUUGGUAAGGUGCCUGCUUUGCAUGCAGAAGGUCCCUGGCUCAAUUUCUGACCACUCCCAGGUAGGACUG